UCCCUGGCAGUCCAUUGGUUAGGACUCUGCACUCUCAUUGCCGAGGGCCUGGGUUCAAUCCCUGGCCAAGGAA
Molecule: transfer RNA, 73 nt
Filed under: Bos taurus (domestic cattle)
Lineage: Eukaryota; Metazoa; Chordata; Mammalia; Artiodactyla; Bovidae
Also listed under: 6 other names
Rfam family: tRNA
About the family: Transfer RNA (tRNA) molecules are approximately 80 nucleotides in length. Their secondary structure includes four short double-helical elements and three loops (D, anti-codon, and T loops).
Source: Rfam by way of RNAcentral